Molecule: transfer RNA, 21 nt
Filed under: Hemigaleus microstoma (sicklefin weasel shark)
Lineage: Eukaryota; Metazoa; Chordata; Chondrichthyes; Carcharhiniformes; Hemigaleidae
Description: partial tRNA-Leu
Source: RNAcentral
GCCCUUGAAAGAUAGUAGUAA